This 260-nucleotide long non-coding RNA is filed under the name Selaginella moellendorffii. RNAcentral describes it as "long non-coding RNA (SMOE_LNC001089)". The record is from RNAcentral. Lineage: Eukaryota; Viridiplantae; Streptophyta; Lycopodiopsida; Selaginellales; Selaginellaceae.
GCUCUCGGGAGAGCUGCGGCUCUCAGCUUCCGUUCACGAGGGCGUGAACUUGCAGGGAAGCGUGGUGGAUUGUAAGCAACCAAAAGGGAACGACUCGAGAGACGAUCCAUAGGGGUUCAAAUAUAGAGGGAAAGGGCCCAUGAACAAGAACUUGCAGGGAAGCGUGGUGGAUUGUAAGCAACCAAAAGGGAACGACUCGAGAGACGAUCCAUAGGGGUUCAAAUAUAGAGGGAAAGGGCCCAUGAACAAGAGUGCGCCCC